CUAGAAUGAUCUCCAUUGGGCGGAAAAGACACGGACCAUCCCUGAGAAGCACAGUCGCGAAUCUGGGACCAGAAAGAGGUACCGGGGCUCUGGAUGCCAGAAACCCCAGUGCGCAGGAUUACUCAGAUGUUGGAGAGGUUUCCUUAACCCACGCUGGCAAUGCCUCAGGAUGUUUUCCAGGAGGUCACAUAAGAGCCACAUGCCACAGAUGGAGGACAAGCUGAAUGAGAGCCCCUGCUCUACUUCCCUGAAGGAAAGAAGGAAGCCCCAUGCCAUCAGCACGAAGCCCCGCUGGCUCAGGGGUAUGAACAUCUCACCCAUGCCCGACAAUGAGAACCGUGAGGAAGGGACCAUGGAAG
Long non-coding RNA from Prionailurus viverrinus (fishing cat), 359 nucleotides. RefSeq lists it as uncharacterized. The record is from RefSeq and is a predicted model, not a curated record. NCBI's taxonomy places the organism in Eukaryota, Metazoa, Chordata, Mammalia, Carnivora, Felidae. The transcript has 4 exons.